UCCUGUCAUCUAAAUAAACCUUCUGCUUUACUGGCUGGCUGAGAGUCAUGGUGAAUCGCAGGAAGCUGGGGGUCUUGUGUCCCCCCCACACUCCAUGACAGGCCCGCUUUGUGUAAAACAUAGAUUAAUUUUAGGGCUUGUUUCAGGAAAAAGAAAUCAACUUCCGUAGCCUAAUAUUGUAAUUUGACUACAGUAAAAUAUUGUCCCAUGGCCUUCUGCUUGGCCUUGCACACUUCCUAAGUAAAGACCUUCAUAUUUGGAUUACAAAUACCAGCUAUAGAGUAAAUGUUGGAAUUUCUACAGACCUCUUUUAAACCUGGAAAUAUUAGCCCAGAUGAAGGGAAACUGCUCUGGUUAGGAAUAAAAGAAAUGUCUUCAUGGAAAUACAUGAUACUGCCUUUCAAAAACAUGAAGUAAAACUGAAUAAAAACAGACCAGUCUAGUUUCAUUAUCCAAACUGAGUGAAAAUGGAAAAUGCAAACCAUGAAUGUAAAAGAUGACGAGUAACUGAUUUUUUUUUUUAAAGUUUAGCUGAAUUGCCUUUUAAAUAAAUAGUUGGGAGAGAAGAGGAUGGGUUGAAAUCCUAAAUCAUUAACAGAAUGCAUAUGUAGCCUUCAAAUUGCAAAGUAGUACAUUUUAAAAGUAAACAGAUUUACUUGCCCCACACCUAAAUUCAGUGAUUUUUCUUCUGCAAGAGGUGAGGGUGAUAAAAGAUCAAGGAAUUGCUUAUGUUAGGUAUGUCUUUAUCUUUCAGGAAAAAUAUAAUAACUUAAGUCAUUCAACUUAAAUAAUUAGCAUUGCACUAACUUGGAGCAGGCAGGAUUAGCAUUAGUGUGUCUAAUAAUUUGGGACACGUUUCCAUCCCUGCACUGUGUGUGAAACUUACACCAAAUAAACAUGAUUUUUUACAUUUUGAGGUAAAUAGCCAGGCUAUUACAGAUAUGUCCUCUGUGGAUCAGGCACAGAGGAUGCCAUGUAAUAUACACAGACCACGGGGUUAUACUUAUGCAUGUUUGUCAUGGGAGGAAUAUGUAAAAUGUGUAAUGAUAAUAUAUGCAAAACUACUGAAAAGGUUUUUUUAUUUCAUUUUUAAAUCCAUAUUGCACCUAUUGCUGUGGGGAAAUUUUACCAUGUAAAGGGAAAGCGCUGAAUGCAAACUUAUGAAAUGAAUGAAUAGACCUGUAUCCUAGCACACAAUAUGAUUGAUUUGAAGAGCUCAUUUGCCAUCCCCACAGCAAAAGUUCCGUCUGUGCCUCAUCGGCAGUUACAGACUAGUCCAUCUGUUUGGUAUGUGGCUCAGUUAGCCCUCUUGAGCCUGCCUAUCACCACUUCAGUGUCAACAGUGGAUGAUACAAUACAUCAGCAUCUCUACCAUUUGUCACAAUCUUGAUCCCCUACUUCUCUCCUAGAGAUUUUAAAAUAUCAAUCUGUCAGAAUCUGAAUUUCUGGUUUUAAAAGAAAGCAACAGAGGAAAGCAGGACACUUUGUAAAACUUACCAAAAAAAACAUUUUCAUAAAAUUGGUCUGCAGUGCUCUGUCACUUAAGAGCUUUGGAAUCCCUGAAAUUAAUUGUUUGUAUUGAUUAUCUUUUUACUGGUGGUGAUAGCAUUGUAAAAAAAAAAAAAAAAACACUUUAAUGUCUUUGGUACACUUUUUGAACUAUUUUGGAGAACUUGUGAUAUCACUGAGGCUAAGCAAGUGCAACCUGAUUGAGGAAUGAAGUGGCUUUUACCUGGAUUAUUUUCAACUAUUAGGUAUUUAAAAACCAUUUAACUCAAAUGCCUUCUAAACAAUGAGAACACGAUUCAACAUCUCUGCCCCUUCAUUUAAGAGGCAAGGGAGCUUCAAAUCCUCAUUUCUAGUUCCUCCACCAGAAACCUCCAGCAAAAUAAGAAAAAAACAAUACUUGACUCUUGAUAAUGUACAAAAUGAGGAAUUAAAAUAAAAAUAAAACCACA
Trachemys scripta elegans is the source of this 1958-nucleotide long non-coding RNA. RefSeq lists it as uncharacterized. The record is from RefSeq and is a predicted model, not a curated record. NCBI's taxonomy places the organism in Eukaryota, Metazoa, Chordata, Testudines, Emydidae. The transcript has 2 exons.